UACAGAGGUCCCGAGCGUUGUUCGGAUUCACUGGGCGUAAAGGGUGCGUAGGUGGUGAGGUAAGUCGGAUGUGAAAUCUCCGGGCCUCAACCCGGAAACUGCAUUGGAAACUACCUUGCUUGAGGGUUUGAGGGGGGACUGGAAUUCUCGGUGUAGCAGUGAAAUGCGUAGAUAUCGUGAGGAACACCAGAGGCGAAGGCGGCUUCCUGGACAAUUGCUGACGCUCAGGCACGAAAGCGUGGGGAGCAAAAGGG
RNAcentral lists this ribosomal RNA (254 nucleotides) under uncultured bacterium. RNAcentral describes it as "partial 16S ribosomal RNA". It matches the Rfam family "Bacterial small subunit ribosomal RNA", at positions 524 to 776 of the family's 1533-position model. The record is from RNAcentral.